UUCAGCUUAAAUAGUUUUUUUAUUCAUGCAUAAAAUUUCAGCAUAAAACAUCUUGAAUAACAAUAAAAUGUACACCCAUUAUACAUAAUGCUAACAUAUUGAAUGUGUAAAUAGUUAUCAAAGGUACCAGGAUUAUAAUUUAGUAUGACAGACGCUCGUUUCGUCUACACAAGACUCAUCAGUGACGCUAGUUCCAAUAUAAGCAAUCUAUAUAAAAACCAGCUUUUAUGUUCUCAAUACUCCUUUUUUAAGAUUUUAAUGAUUAAAACAAAUUUCAGUUUAAUUUACUCAAUAAACAAUGUAUACUUUUGUCAUUUUUUUUAAAUAUAUGUAUAAAUAUAAAAUAAUAAUAAAAAUGUAUAACUAUUAUAUAGAAUAAAACCUCUAUAAAUGUUUUUCAUGUCUUUCUCACUGUUACUCAUUUUUAAUGUAUAUGACCUUGGAGAGGUCAGAAAAAAAAUACCAAACAUAUUUUUAAACGUCAGAAAAGAAACUGAUUUAUAUAAUAUUGGAUUUUAAAGCCAAAUCAG
RNAcentral lists this long non-coding RNA (530 nucleotides) under Mytilus galloprovincialis (Mediterranean mussel). The record is from RNAcentral. Lineage: Eukaryota; Metazoa; Mollusca; Bivalvia; Mytilida; Mytilidae.